RNAcentral lists this ribosomal RNA (525 nucleotides) under Triticum aestivum (bread wheat). RNAcentral's name for it is "partial small subunit ribosomal RNA". Lineage: Eukaryota; Viridiplantae; Streptophyta; Magnoliopsida; Poales; Poaceae. The record is from RNAcentral.
AUGGCAUGCCUUGCUCCGCCAGCGUCCUUCGCUCCCUUUUGCAGGGGCCCCUUUGCAUCUCCGGCCAACUUGUAUCGGCCGCCCGCCUCCAUCGCCUCCUUGUCUCCUUCGUCUCCCCCUUUCUACCCCAGCCGUGUCAUGGUUAGGUGGGAAGCUCCCCCGGCGGGCUGGCUGAAGCUAAACUUCGACGGGUCUGUGUACAACGACGGGUCCGGCCGGGCUAGCAUCGGCGGCGCCAUCCGCGACUGCAACGGCCGCGUUCUUGUCGCCUUUGCCGAGCCGACGGAGCACUCGACCGUGGGCAUAGUGGAGGCCAGGGCGCUCAUCCGCGGGCUGCGCCCCGCGCUGAGUCGCUUCCGCGGCAGGCUGGUGGCGGAAGGAGACGACCUGAUGCUGGUGGAGCUCCUCACCGGCGAGGAGACGCAGACGCGCGUACCUCAGGCCAUGCAAGACGAGAUUCUCAUGCUGCUUGGGUGCUUCGCGGCGUACAAGGUCCAGCACAUCUUCCGCGAGGGCAAUCAGGUC